AACGCACGAGACCUGCGGACCUGCGGAAGGAUCAUUACAGAGUUGCAAAACUCCAAACCCAUGUGAACAUACCUCGUGUUGCCUCGGCGGCGAGCGUAUAGUGCUCGGGACGUGCCUACCCGGUACCUACCCUUGAGCUACCCUGGAGCUGCCUACCCGGUAGCUGCCAGGGUACCUACCCUGGAGCUACCCGGUAGUAACCUACCCGGUAGCUACCCUGGAGGACUUGCGCAUCCGCCG
RNAcentral lists this unclassified non-coding RNA (240 nucleotides) under soil metagenome. RNAcentral's name for it is "partial contains 5.8S ribosomal RNA, internal transcribed spacer 2, and large subunit ribosomal RNA". The record is from RNAcentral.